UCUUAACCUACGUCUCUCUAAAGAAUGUAAAUUUAACAGCUUCAAUCUCGCCUCGUAAGGAAUACUCCCUAUCCCCUGUAUCCUUUUAAUCAUUCUCCUUUGUACUGAUUCUAAUAGACUGAUUCUACUGAUUCUAAUAGAUAAUUGUUCUCCGAAACUGUGCCUCCGUGCUUGCACCUUGCCUAGUCAAACUUUUUAACUCUGUUUAUCAACAUCUUCCUUUCCUUCUUCCUGGAAGUUCAACCUUUUCCUAAAAAGAGGGACCGUUCUAAUCCCGCAAACUACCGUCCUGUUCCUUUAAUUUCAUAGCUCUUUAAAAUCUUUUAAUCUCCUUUUAACAGGAAGACACUAAAACACCUAUCACUUCAGAACUUUCUAUCUGAUCACAAGUAUGGGUUCCGUCAAGGCCGCUCUUUCUUCUGACUUUCCUUACUGAGUCUUGGUCAUCCUCUUUAGAGAUUUUGGUGAUCAUUUGGGAUCAUUUGGCUGUCAUCCUCGAUCAGUGAUACAAGCAUUGUGGGGUGGAGAGUGUAUCAUCACUGUGAUGAUAGUUAACGGAAGAGGUGAUUACCUGUUUUGUUUUUAACGGCACAUCUUUAUUGUAUAGCUAUUUGGAGUCUAUUGUAUUUAAUAUCUGUUCAAUUAUUUAUAAAACUGUUUUUAUACAUGUUUCUGGUGGUAUACUAUUUAAUCCGUAUGUAUAAUGAUGGUUGGUGUGUGGUUUAUCACGCGUGUCGCUGCGCAUUUGUCUUGUUGGUUGGGUUGAGAGGUGGCCACGAGGGGCUGGACUGGCAGGCAAGACGGUUGUUCGAAUGGUUUGACCACUAGGCAGGCGUGACGAGGGAAAGUGUAGAACCUACAGGUGACUGAUGGAGGGUAGUGAACAUGGCCUUUAUCGUUUCUCACUUAACUCUCGGACGUUACAACGUUGAAAUAAAUAACGACACCACGAGUUUAGUGUGAACCAUUUCAACGUUGUUCCAUGAAGGGUAAGACGAGAAGAUUUAGGCGCUGAAAAGGAAAUGGGCAGUGGCCAAGGGCAAGUUCACCAGGAAGGCCAAGCUCUUCAUCACAGCACACGGUGAUCAGGCACAGUACUACAGGGUAUUUAGAAGAACAUAGAAACAUGAGAAAUAAGGGAAGCUGCAUGAAGCGACCAGGUUUAUACGUGGCAGUCCCUGUAUGAAAUAUACCUACCUAUUUCCGUCUAUUAUCCCCAUCCAUAAACUCAUCUAAUCUUUUCGUAAAGCUCCCUAAUGUUCUAGCACUAACAACAUGAUUACUGAGUCCGUUCCACUCAUCCGCCACUCUAUUUGAGAACCAAUUUCUUCCUAUCUCCUUCGUAAACCUAAAUUUUUCGAGCUUGAACCCGUUAUUUCUUGUUCUAUCCUGGUUGCUGAUCCUAAGAAUUUUGCUUACAUCUCCCUUGUUAUAACCCUUAUACCACUUAAAGACUUCCAUCAGGUCCCCUCUUAACCUACGUCUCUGUAAAGAAUGUAGAUUUAACAGCUUCAGUCUCGCCUCGUAAGGAAUACUCAUCAUCCCCUGCAUCCUUUUAGUCAUCCUCCUCUGUACUGAUUCUAAUAGACCUAUAUCUUUCCUGUAAUGUGGGGAUCGGAACUCCACUGUGUAGUCUAGAUGAGGUCUGACCAGCGCCAAGUAUAACUUUAAUAUUACUUCCGGCCUUCUACUUUUAACACCCCUAAAAAUUAAUCCUAGUACCCUAUUUGCCUUGUUUCUGGCCUCUGUGCAUUGUUUUCCUAGACGGAGUUCAGAACUAACUUAUAACUCUUAAAUCUUUCUCGUACACUAUACUUACCAGCAGAGAUUGAGUUGUCAUUUAAGAAUGUUGUAGAUAUCAGUGAUGAACUAAUUGAGUUACUUAGUCAGUGUGGAGAAAAGGAUUUAACAGAGGAGGCUGAUCAGUAUGUUUCAGAGUUGGAAGCAAAGAAAUGUAAUUCAAAAUAAAUUUGGAAAAUGUAAACUCUGCUCCACAGAAUCCCAUUCAGCAAGCCUCAUUACGAACAUUACUUAAGAAACUUAGUGAAAAAACUUGAUCCUCCCAUUUUUCUGUUGAUUUAAGGGAUUUCCCCAACUUUAAAUAUGAUUAUGAGAGACUAGUUGUGCCCACAUAUGGGCAGGAUCCAUACGCUUUAAGACAAUGAUUGGUAGGUGAGGCACUGCAGUCAGUAAGGAGAUUAGGGAAUAUUUGCAAUGAGAUGUUCAGCAGGCUAGAACAAAAGUAUGGUAACUAGAGAAAGAUAGUUAACUUGACUAUCAGUGACGUGCGUGCAUUGAAACCAUUGGCAGAGGGUGAUGAUAAAAAAAAUUAAGUAAAACUUUAAAAGUAGUUAAGAGAUGUUACCUAUACUUGAAGAAAAUUAAAUUAGAAGCCGAGAUGGAUUCCACUAAUGUCUUACAACAUGUAGAAAGACUUUUGUCACUUACAGAAAAAAGAGGAUGGGUGGCAGUAAUGGAUGAAGAAGCUGUCAAAAAUAAGAAUACAUGCAAAUUGAGUUUUUAAAAAAGUUAUUGUAUUACUUAUUGACCCAGAAAAGAAUAAUUGCAUACAUGGGACCUGCAGUUAGAAAUGUCAGUAGUACUAGAUCAAACAGAAACAGUAUAUCAAAUGCAGGAUCUCAGGAAACUGCUAUACAGGCUCUAAUCAAAGACAUGCAUAAUAAGCAGACAAAUAUGAAGAGACAGCUACUUAAUAUUACAAAGCUGAUUUAGCUGGCAAUACCAAACGACCCACAAAUGACACCUCAAGUCAAGCAUCGUACAGGCGUUGGUUUCACGAGACCAACACUCAUGACACACAGGACUGUAAUAAUUUUAAGUCAUUAAAUAAUGAAGAUAAAUUAGAUAUACUAUAAAAAGAAGGGACUGUGUUACUGUUGCAUAAGUGGUCAACAUUUGGCAAGAGAGUGUACAAGAAGAGAGGGUUGUAGUGUAAUGGUAGACAACAAAGACUGUAGCCUGGGGCACCACCCCUUAUUACACUGGGCACGGGUAAAUGGCGUCAUGUAUCACACUAACAAGGUGAUAAAUGACUAUAAGAAGUCUAGAGUAAUGCUAAUGGAUAGUUCUGUGUAUAACAAUGGCAUCCGUAUAACUAACAACCUUGUGGGACAGUGGACCAGACAUUACGGUCAUUACCCACACAAUGGCAAGAAAGUUAGGAUUAACAGGAAGAGACAUUCAGAUGGCUAUAAUCAAAGCAGGGAAUGUGGUGACCUGUGUCAGCAAGGAGUACACCAUUGCUCUAUCGGACCGUCUUGGCAAAAUAUGGCAAGUCAAAGCUUAUGGGUUGGAGGAAAUAACAUCUGAUGGAUGAAAGGUUGAUUCACAGAAACUAAGUAAAUUUUUUCAGGUUCAGCUCCAUUUGUUGGUCAGACCUGUAGGCAAGGUAGAUAUGUUCAUCAGAUCGGAUUGUUGUCAGUUACUCCCAAAAGUAGUGAAAACAAUCGACAAACUUCAGUUAUUGGUAAACCAAUGUGAGUAUCGUGUAAGAGGUUGCAUAGAGUAUUGGGGAACGUCAAAGUUGUAAUAAUGUUUGCAUCACUUUGAAUCAUGUCACUGUUGGUGUUAAAGAUUAUAAUAUUGAUGUUUCUGAGAUACUCAGUUUGAAAUUUUCCUUUGAUAGUGUGCUUGAUAACAAUUUGCAUCCUGGUCAUGAAACAUGCACUUGCAAAGAGGGUAUUGUAGAUGAUCACUCCAUAAAGGAGAAAAGAGAAUUAGAAUUAACAGAACAAAGACUAGUUUAAGGUCAAGAUGACAACUUUUCGGUGUGUGAAGCAUUCCUGGAUUUAAAAAAAAUCCCAUAAAUUUGCCUAAUAACUUUUCUCUUGCUGUCCAUAGAUUGAAAACAUCAGAAAAAAAGGUUAAUCAAGCUUGGCCCUGAGCACUGUAGAUUAUAUAAAGAGCAGAUCAAUGACAUGAUUGACAACGGUAUAGCAAGGAAACUCUCAGGGGAAGAAGUGUCAUCGUACCAGGGUCCGGUCCACUAUUUACACCAUCAUGAAGUUAUUAAGCCAGGUUCGUCAUCUACGCCAGUUAGAACUGUAUUUGAUUCAUCAGCAACCUAUCAAGGGCAUCAACUUAAUUCUUAUUGGGCCAAAGGACCAGACAUAUUAAACUCAUUAUUGGGUGUGUUAUUGAGAAUGAGGCAAGAGAAGAUAGUUGUAAUUGGAGAUAUUUCAAGAAAGUACCAUACCAUCAGGUUAAAUGAAAGGGAUCAGCAUACUCACAGAUCCAUUUGGAGGAAUCUGGAUUUAUCUAAAUCACCAGAACAUUAUGCCUUGACUAGAGUCACAUUUGGGGACUGACCUAUUGGAAUCAUAGCAACCUUGGCACUCAAACCGCAGAAAAAUAUGUGGAUCAGUACUCAGAGGCUGCUCACAUGAUUAUGAAGAACACGUAUGUGGAUGAGAUGAUAGAAUAGAGUGCAUAUUAUCUACAGGAGGGAUUGUGGUAAAAAACUAGGUUGUCUCGGGAAGUGAUGUUGACAACUGUGGAAUUAAGUUGCUAGAGAGUGAGACAGAUCUAGGAAUGUCGUGCUAGGAAUGUCAUGGGACAUUAGGGAUGAUCAAUUCUUUUGCAAAGUCAAGAUAAACCUUUCUCCAAAUUUUAAGAUGUUACACACAGAGCCCAAUGUAUGACUCGGUGAAAUAGAAUAUAAAUUUUCAUCAGUUCUCACAAGGCGCCUUGUACUCAGGCAAAUUGCAUCAAUAUUUGAUCCUUUGGGACUGAUACAACCUUUUACUUUAUCAACUAAAUUGCUCAUGAGAGAAAUGAUCAUAAAGAAUGAAGAAGGAGAAUGCGAGGACUACAGGAUGAAAAAGAACAAUUUUCUUAUUUAUUUAUUUAUUUAUUUUUUAUUAUUAUUAUUUCUUUUUUUUUUUUUUUCAAGGAAUUGUAUAGUUUGGAAGACUUCAGGAUUAGGCGGGCAAUCAAACACUGUGAUGCAGCAGGGGAUCCAACCUUGAUUAUCUUCUCUGAUGUUCUAAGCAUGUUUAUGGAGCUGUUGCAUAUUUUCUUUUUUUUUUUUUUGACACUAUCUGGAAAUUAUGAAACUGCUUUCAUAGCAGCUAAGAGUAAGAUUACCCCAGCUAAACAGGUCACUAUACCUAGGAUUGAACUGUGCACUGCCGUGUUAUCAUCUCGCCUACGGGAGAUAAUACAGCAUGAAUUGUACUGGCAGUUCGAGUCUGUUUAUCACCUGGUGGACUCUGCUAAAGUAAGGGAUCAAAUUCAGAAGGAUUCCUAUAAAUUUAAAUCAUACGUGGGAACAAGAAUCGCUGACAUACUGAGCAAAUCAAAUCCCAGCGAAUGGUGGUGGAUUAGAUCUGAAAUUAAUCCCACUGACAUGUUAACACACCCAGUGACUAUUCAACAAAUGGGUGGUGACUCAGUAUGGCAGAAUGGCCCAGAAUUUUUUAAAUUACCUAUCGAAAAGUGGCCUGUAAAGCAAACCACUGAAACAGAAUUGCCAGACAUGACUGGAAAACAUUAGCAUGCGAGAUUGAAUCGAUACUUCUGCACAAUGACAAAACACCUAACAUGAAUUUUUCAACUUGAAUAGGUUCAGCAGCUAUACAAAAUUGUUCAGGGUCACCAGUAGGAUAAUGGCAGCAAUAAAGGCAAAAUCGUUCCUGGCAAUUACUAAAAGUAUCACUAGUCAAGACAUACAAGAAACCGAAAGGCUUUGGGUUAAGGAGGUACAGAGAUAAUACUCAAGGGACUGGCCGAAGAGGUUUGAAAGACUAGUGCCUGUAAUAGACAAGGAUGGUAUAAUCACGGUAGGGAACAGAAUGAGAUCAUGGCUUAGGAAGAACUGGAAUAAUGAUACAUAUAUGUUCUUGUUCCCCAGGCACAGGUUUACACACUUGUACGUAUCUCAUUUACAUCAAAUUGGUCAUGCAGAACUAGAUAUAACUUUUGCUAAAUUACAGAGGAAAUUUGAGGAAAUAAUUUGAGGAAAGGCUUAAACCAUCGCCACCAUUUUACCACACGGGUUGUGAUAUAUUUGGCCCUUUCAGAAUUCGUGAUGCAGUUAAGUGUACAACCUUUGGCAAGGCUUACGGAAUAAUAUUCAUUUGUUUGUCCACCAGAAGUGUUUACUUAGACUUACUGGAGGGUUAUGACACACAGAGCUUUCUGAUGGUUUUCAGACGAUUUGUGCCUAUAAGGGGCUACCCCUGCAAUAUGUACUCAGAUAGAGGUCCUCAGUUUGUGUCAGCUGAGAAGGAGAUCAAACAAAUGUUUGAAGAAUUGGAUUUAAGCAAUAUCCACAAUUUUGAUAGAAACAAAGGUGUGGAGUGGGUAUUCACGAAAUCAUCAGACGCCCCUUGUUAGAACGACAUAAGUGUAUUAUUAGUUACACAUACUAAUAAUUAUGUAUGUAUUUUGUGCUAUAAGGAAUGUAAACAUAACUGAUAGCACACAUGUCGCUGCUCAUGGAUGACGUGUAAACCAGGUGUUGUGAUGGGGGUAGUGGUGUUCUCGGGUCAGUUGUUGGUUGGUGGGCCUCUUGGACGUUUCUUGACGUCCUGGUAGUGUCAUGAGUUUGGGGGCUGCACAGGUGUAUUCAUCAAGGUAUGUAUAAUGCUAUUAUCAAUGCAAAUUUGUUUAUUAAGUUCAUAUCAGUCUGAGAAUUGUAUACAGCUGGCUUAUUCCCAGUCAUCAUUAUGGUGCACGGUGUUGUCUUCUUGUACAAGUUUGUAUAUGAGGGUAUUGUAUUUCAGUGUUGUUUAAUGGUGCUGACAUGAAGCAAAUAUGAACUGGUUGCAAGGGAGCUGUGCAGUAUUUGUUCUUGGGAUUCUGCUGGGUACCAGUGACGAGGCAUUGUUGUGAGUGGUCAUUGUUAUUGUGUUGAUAUCAGGGAUUAUCAUGUGAUAUGUUUAUGUGUACUACAUGACGGAGGUCUAUUUGGUAUUGUGAUGGCCGUAAUCUUUAAAAUGAAAUGUGACACAUGUGUUGAUUAUGAAAGUACUAGUCUGGUUAUUGUAACUUUGUUGAUUUUUGUUAUACACGUAUGUUUACUAC
Molecule: long non-coding RNA, 7047 nt
Organism: Scylla paramamosain (green mud crab)
Lineage: Eukaryota; Metazoa; Arthropoda; Malacostraca; Decapoda; Portunidae
Exons: 3
Source: RefSeq, a predicted model, not a curated record